UAAAGGCUUAGUUGAGUUGAGUUAGUUGUUACCCAUAACGAGGCCCUAUAUUUAGCCUAAUACAUGGACUAUGCACAUAUAGUCAGAUUUAUGUUCAAUUGAAAUAUAAUCUCAGUUCUAGGUUACUGUUUUUAUAGCACAAAUAUUAUUGGAAUUUAAAUGAGUUCUAGGUUACUGUUUUAUACCACAAAGAUUUAGCUUGAGAUCAAAAGAAAUCCUUUCAAAUGUUUGAGCAUAGAAAGAGUCCUAUUUCCUUUCCUAGGCCUGGAUAGAAUUUAUCUCAAGAAAGCAUACAUUGGAGCAAACUUGCAAUUUAACAAUUUGCUAGGAAUGUUACAAACAAAGAGUUUAUUAACAUUGAUGAAUUGGCAAGGAGUGCUGGAGUGGUAUUGUAAAUUAUUAAAUUACAAUGGAAAUAAACCUUUGCAAAAAUGAUUAGAUGCUAAUUUUAUUGAUGAGAAUAAUUUUUAUGCUGGAAACAAAUUGCUGGACAGGGAAAUAUAUUUUUGGUCUUGGGCAUCAAAGAGUUAAGGAGGCUCUAACCUUAACAAUAAAAUCAUGUUGUAUGUUCUCACAUGCAUAUAGGGGUAUAGAUUUUUCAGUAUACCACUAGCUGGAAAGACUAGUUUCAGAGAUUUUGUCAUCAUUAGAUCAUUAGAAAUUAAUGUUUCUCUUGAGCUUUUCGGCUUGCAUUAAAGCUUUUUAACAGUGUCAAUAAUUCUUAACUCAGUUCCACAUUAAAUACUGAUACUUGUGUCUGUCUUUGCAACAAAAGCAUGGUAUUGACAUCAUGUUUACAUGGUAUUGAUAUCACUGACAAAGCAUAUAGAGGUAGAUUGUCACUUUA
RNAcentral lists this unclassified non-coding RNA (847 nucleotides) under Hevea brasiliensis (rubber tree). Lineage: Eukaryota; Viridiplantae; Streptophyta; Magnoliopsida; Malpighiales; Euphorbiaceae. The record is from RNAcentral.